This 599-nucleotide ribosomal RNA is filed under the name marine gamma proteobacterium SB7. RNAcentral's name for it is "partial 16S ribosomal RNA". It matches the Rfam family "Bacterial small subunit ribosomal RNA", at positions 36 to 631 of the family's 1533-position model. Lineage: Bacteria; Pseudomonadati; Pseudomonadota; Gammaproteobacteria. The record is from RNAcentral.
CUGGCGGCAGGCCUAACACAUGCAAGUCGAGCGGAAACGACGAUUUGNUGGGCGUCGAGCGGCGGACNGNUGAGUAAUGCCUAGGAAAUUGCCUUGAUGUGGGGGAUAACCAUUGGAAACGAUGGCUAAUACCGCAUAAUGCCUACGGGCCAAAGAGGGGGACCUUCGGGCCUCUCGCGUCAAGAUAUGCCUAGGUGGGAUUAGCUAGUUGGUGAGGUAAUGGCUCACCAANGCGACGAUCCCUANCUGGUCUGAGAGGAUGAUCANCCACACUGGAACUGAGACACGGUCCAGACUCCUACGGGAGGCANCANUGGGGAAUAUUGNACANUGGGCGAAAGCCUGAUGCANCCAUGCCGNGUGUAUGAAGAAGGCCUUCNGGUUGUAAAGUACUUUCAGUUGUGAGGAAGGGUGUGUAGUUAAUAGCUGCGCAUCUUGACGUUAGCAACAGAAGAAGCACCGGCUAACUCCGUGCCAGCAGCCGCGGUAAUACGGAGGGUGCGAGCGUUAAUCNGAAUUACUGGGGCGUAAAGCGCAUGCAAGUGGUUCAUUAAGUCAGAUGUGAAAGCCCGGGGCUCAACCUCGGAACUGCAUUUGAA